GACGAACGCUGGCGGCGUGCUUAACACAUGCAAGUCGAACGGAAAGGCCCUGCUUUUGUGCGGUGCUCGAGUGGCGAACGGGUGAGUAACACGUGAGUAACCUGCCCUUGACUUUGGGAUAACUUCAGGAAACUGGGGCUAAUACCGGAUAGGAGCUCCUGCUGCAUGGUGGGGGUUGGAAAGUUUCGGCGGUUGGGGAUGGACUCGCGGCUUAUCAGCUUGAUGGUGGGGUAGUGGCUUACCAUGGCUUGGACGGGUAGCCGACCUGCGAGGGUGACCGGCCACAUUGGGCCUGAGAUACGGCCCAGACUCCUACGGGAGGCAGCGGUGGGGAGUAGUGCACAAUGGGAGGAAGCCUGAUGCAGCAACGCCGCGUGCGGGAUGACGGCCUUCGGGUUGUAAACCGCUUUCGCCUGUGACGAAGCGUGAGUGACGGUACUGGGUAAAGAAGCACCGGCUAACUACGUG
RNAcentral lists this ribosomal RNA (468 nucleotides) under uncultured bacterium. RNAcentral's name for it is "partial 16S ribosomal RNA". It matches the Rfam family "Bacterial small subunit ribosomal RNA", at positions 28 to 507 of the family's 1533-position model. The record is from RNAcentral.